Molecule: ribosomal RNA, 430 nt
Filed under: uncultured bacterium
Lineage: Bacteria
Description: partial 16S ribosomal RNA
Rfam family: Bacterial small subunit ribosomal RNA
Source: RNAcentral
GUGGGGAAUAUUGCACAAUGGGCGCAAGCCUGAUGCAGCAACGCCGCGUGAGGGAUGACGGCCUUCGGGUUGUAAACCUCUUUUAGUAGGGAAGAAGCGAAAGUGACGGUACCUGCAGAAAAAGCACCGGCUAACUACGUGCCAGCAGCCGCGGUAAUACGUAGGGUGCAAGCGUUGUCCGGAAUUAUUGGGCGUAAAGAGCUCGUAGGCGGCUUGUCGCGUCUGCUGUGAAAUCCCGGGGCUCAACCCCGGGCCUGCAGUGGGUACGGGCAGGCUAGAGUGCGGUAGGGGAGAUUGGAAUUCCUGGUGUAGCGGUGGAAUGCGCAGAUAUCAGGAGGAACACCGAUGGCGAAGGCAGAUCUCUGGGCCGCUACUGACGCUGAGGAGCGAAAGCAUGGGGAGCGAACAGGAUUAGAUACCCGUGUAGUCC